AAGGGUAUAGCUCAGUGGUAGAGCACUGUGCUUAGCAUGCACAAGGUCUUGCGUUCAAUCCCCAGUGCCUCCA
RNAcentral lists this transfer RNA (73 nucleotides) under Camelus bactrianus (Bactrian camel). It matches the Rfam family "tRNA". From Rfam's summary of the family: Transfer RNA (tRNA) molecules are approximately 80 nucleotides in length. Their secondary structure includes four short double-helical elements and three loops (D, anti-codon, and T loops). Further hydrogen bonds mediate the characteristic L-shaped molecular structure. tRNAs have two regions of fundamental functional importance: the anti-codon, which is responsible for specific mRNA codon recognition, and the 3' end, to which the tRNAs corresponding amino acid is attached (by aminoacyl-tRNA synthetases). tRNAs cope with the degeneracy of the genetic code in two manners: having more than one tRNA (with a specific anti-codon) for a particular amino acid; and 'wobble' base-pairing, i.e. permitting non-standard base-pairing at the 3rd anti-codon position. The record is from Rfam by way of RNAcentral. Lineage: Eukaryota; Metazoa; Chordata; Mammalia; Artiodactyla; Camelidae. RNAcentral also lists the same sequence under 2 other names.